UGUAGGAGUGAGCCUGCUCGCGAUGGCGUCGUGUCGGCUGGCAUCAAUGUCGGCUGACACGACGCCAUCGCGAGCAGGCUCACUCCUACA
Molecule: unclassified non-coding RNA, 90 nt
Filed under: Pseudomonas sp. Z003-0.4C(8344-21)
Lineage: Bacteria; Pseudomonadati; Pseudomonadota; Gammaproteobacteria; Pseudomonadales; Pseudomonadaceae
Source: RNAcentral